CCCGCACAAGCGGUGGAGUAUGUGGUUUAAUUGGAUGCAACGCGAAGAACCUUACCUGGUCUUGACAUCUCAAGGAUCUCCUGGAAACAGGAGAGUGCUUUCUUUCGAAAGAACUUGAAGACAGGUGCUGCAUGGCUGUCGUCAGCUCGUGUCUUGAGAUGUUGGGUUAAGUCCCGCAACGAGCGCAACCCUCGCCAUUAGUUGCCAUCAUUUAGUUGGGCACUCUAAUGGGACUGCCGGUGUCAAACCGGAGGAAGGUGGGGAUGACGUCAAGUCCUCAUGGCCUUUAUGACCAGGGCUACACACGUACUACAAUGGCCGAUACAAAGGGCAGCCACAGGGUGACCUGGAGCAAAUCCCAUAAAGUCGGUCUCAGUCCGGAUCGGAGUCUGCAACUCGACUCCGUGAAGUUGGAAUCGCUAGUAAUCGUGGAUCAGCAUGCCACGGUGAAUACGUUCCCGGGCCUUGUACACACCGCCCGUCACACCACGGAAGUUGGUUGUACCAGAAGUAGUUGAGCGAACCUUCGGGGCGCAGACUACCCAGGUAUGGCUGGUAACUGGGGUGAAGUCGUAACAAGGUA
RNAcentral lists this ribosomal RNA (583 nucleotides) under uncultured bacterium. RNAcentral describes it as "bacterial SSU rRNA". It matches the Rfam family "Bacterial small subunit ribosomal RNA", at positions 920 to 1498 of the family's 1533-position model. The record is from RNAcentral.